This 252-nucleotide ribosomal RNA is filed under the name uncultured bacterium. Its description in RNAcentral is "partial 16S ribosomal RNA". It matches the Rfam family "Bacterial small subunit ribosomal RNA", at positions 524 to 776 of the family's 1533-position model. The record is from RNAcentral.
UACAUAGGGGGCGAGCGUUAUCCGGAUUUACUGGGCGUAAAGGGUGCGUAGGCGGUUAAUUAAGUUUCUGGUGUAAGUGCAGUGCUUAACGCUGUGAUGCUAGGAAAACUGGUUAACUAGAGUGAGACAGAGGCAAGUGGAAUUCCAUGUGUAGCGGUAAAAUGCGUAAAUAUAUGGAGGAACACCAGUGGCGAAGGCGGCUUGCUGGGUCUAUACUGACGCUGAGGCACGAAAGCGUGGGGAGCAAACAGG